GAUGAACGCUGGCGGCGUGCUUAACACAUGCAAGUCGAACGAAGCACUUUAUUACAAUUUCUUCGGAAUGACGAUUUAGUGACUGAGUGGCGGACGGGUGAGUAACGCGUGGGUAACCUGCCUUAUACAGGGGGAUAACAGUUAGAAAUGACUGCUAAUACCGCAUAAGCGCACAGGAUUGCAUGAUCUGGUGUGAAAAACUCCGGUGGUAUAAGAUGGACCCGCGUCUGAUUAGCUGGUUGGUGAGGUAACGGCCCACCAAGGCGACGAUCAGUAGCCGACCUGAGAGGGUGACCGGCCACAUUGGGACUGAGACACGGCCCAAAACUCCUACGGGAGGCAGCAGUGGGGAAUAUUGCACAAUGGGGGAAACCCUGAUGCAGCGACGCCGCGUGAGCGAAGAAGUAUUUCGGUAUGUAAAGCUCUAUCAGCAGGGAAGAAAAAAUGACGGUACCUGACUAAGAAGCCCCGGCUAACUACGUGCCAGCAGCCGC
RNAcentral lists this ribosomal RNA (494 nucleotides) under uncultured bacterium. RNAcentral describes it as "bacterial SSU rRNA". It matches the Rfam family "Bacterial small subunit ribosomal RNA", at positions 28 to 518 of the family's 1533-position model. The record is from RNAcentral.